UCUCCUGUAGUAUAGUGGUUAGUAUCCGCGCCUGUCACGCGCGAGGCCCGGGUUCGAUUCCCGGCGGGAGAG
Molecule: transfer RNA, 72 nt
Organism: Catenaria anguillulae PL171
Lineage: Eukaryota; Fungi; Blastocladiomycota; Blastocladiomycetes; Blastocladiales; Catenariaceae
Rfam family: tRNA
About the family: Transfer RNA (tRNA) molecules are approximately 80 nucleotides in length. Their secondary structure includes four short double-helical elements and three loops (D, anti-codon, and T loops). Further hydrogen bonds mediate the characteristic L-shaped molecular structure. tRNAs have two regions of fundamental functional importance: the anti-codon, which is responsible for specific mRNA codon recognition, and the 3' end, to which the tRNAs corresponding amino acid is attached (by aminoacyl-tRNA synthetases). tRNAs cope with the degeneracy of the genetic code in two manners: having more than one tRNA (with a specific anti-codon) for a particular amino acid; and 'wobble' base-pairing, i.e. permitting non-standard base-pairing at the 3rd anti-codon position.
Source: Rfam